Molecule: ribosomal RNA, 624 nt
Filed under: uncultured bacterium
Lineage: Bacteria
Description: bacterial SSU rRNA
Rfam family: Bacterial small subunit ribosomal RNA
Source: RNAcentral
CUUUCGAAAGAAAGAUUAAUACCUGAUGGUAUGAUGAGAUUGCAUGAUAGCAUCAUUAAAGAUUUAUCGGUGUACGAUGGGGAUGCGUUCCAUUAGGUAGUAGGCGGGGUAACGGCCCACCUAGCCAACGAUGGAUAGGGGUUCUGAGAGGAAGGUCCCCCACAUUGGAACUGAGACACGGCCCAAACUCCUACGGGAGGCAGCAGUGGGGAAUAUUGCACAAUGGGGGAAACCCUGAUGCAGCGACGCCGCGUGAGUGAUGAAGUAUUUCGGUAUGUAAAGCUCUAUCAGCAGGGAAGAUAAUGACGGUACCUGACUAAGAAGCACCGGCUAAAUACGUGCCAGCAGCCGCGGUAAUACGUAUGGUGCAAGCGUUAUCCGGAUUUACUGGGUGUAAAGGGUGCGUAGGUGGUGAGACAAGUCUGAAGUGAAAAUCCGGGGCUUAACCCCGGAACUGCUUUGGAAACUGCCUGACUAGAGUACAGGAGAGGUAAGUGGAAUUCCUAGUGUAGCGGUGAAAUGCGUAGAUAUUAGGAGGAACACCAGUGGCGAAGGCGACUUACUGGACUGCUACUGACACUGAGGCACGAAAGCGUGGGGAGCAAACAGGAUUAGAUACCCUGG